RNAcentral lists this ribosomal RNA (629 nucleotides) under uncultured fungus. Its description in RNAcentral is "eukaryotic LSU rRNA". The stretch from base 279 to 432 matches the Rfam family "5.8S ribosomal RNA". The record is from RNAcentral. Lineage: Eukaryota; Fungi.
UCCGUAGGUGAACCUGCGGAAGGAUCAUUAAUGAUAUUGAUUUUCAAAUGUCAAUCUCAUACACCUUUUGUUAAUUUUUAAACUUGUUCUUUCCACUAAGGCUGUAUAAGUUAACUGGUAAACAGUUAAGUGCCGUUGGGGUUUACGCAGGUUGCGAUGAAUUGUAAAAAGUUUAAGUCGCAGCCAAUGCCACCCUGAUUGGAAGUCGCUAGUGGAUAAAAACAUUUUAAAACUCUUAUAAAACUAUAAAGUCUGAAUAAAAAAUUAUAAUAAUACAAAACUUUCAACAACGGAUCUCUAGGCUCUUGCAUCGAUGAAGAACGCAGUGAAAUGCGAUAAGUAAUGUGAAUUGCAGAAUCUCGUGAAUCAUUGAAUCUUUGAACGCACAUUGCGCCUUAUGGUAUUCCAUAAGGCAUGCCUGUCUGAGCGUCAGCUCCAAACGUCCUGGACUUGUGUCUGGGGAUGACAUUGAAAUUGCGGGGCUUUGUUGCUUCGCCUUCAGAAAUCAAUAGGCGGUACGGUUUCCACCAAAAACCAGACGUAGGUAUUUUCUAUUUCGGUCCUAAAGGUUUGGAAGGGAAUGGAACUGGUGGGCCAGCUUGGUUAACUCACAACCAUUAUCAGGUAAU